GCACAAACUGUAUGUUUUGAUGUCGUCCAAUUGUCCCUGUGAAAUUGUUAAAUACUGCAGGAAGAUGUUUCUGUUUGUGUGUGUGUAUAGUGGGCGUGGGGGGCUUAAUCGCUUCUGCUUGCCUUUCUGUAAAAGUCACUGCACGCCACUGUUGUGUUCACAUAGAAGUUAAUUUUACAGGUACCACCCCCAUAAACAUUGCUGCAGACCAAUGUUUCUUGUAGCUGAUUGGUUAAAAAUAUCCACAAACUCCCAAACACUCUCGAAUGUCCCUGAGAGUAUAAAUGAACUGGUCCAGUGUACCGCGACCAAGAUAAGAACCAAGACUUGUGAGUUCGGAUCAGAAUUUUCACAGAGGAACAAACUGACAUUAUUUCUUAAACCAACACUUUUUUCAUUUGUCAACUUCAAUUUAAUUCAGUUCUAUUCACAGUUACCUCAAGUUACUUUAUAUUGUAAGGCAAACCCUGCAAUAAUACAGCAUACAUACAUCCAAAAUAAUCAGACAACCCCCUGUGAGGAAGCACUUGGCAAAAGUGUGAAGGAAAAUCUAUGUUUUAACAGGAAGAACCAGUGAGGGGCAACUACCUGCAGAGACCAGUUGGGGGCGAGGGGGGGAGACAGGACAAAAGCCACAGUGUCCAAGAAAGCCAGAGAUGAAUAACAAUGAUUAAAAGCAAAGUGGUACAUGAACACUGGGAGUAAAGGGGAGUUGAAACGCAGACAUAUACUAUAACCUCAAGUCACCAACAUGUCCACACAGGAAACCCCCGAAAUUUUGUUGAACUUUUGCAAUUAAAUGCUAUAUUUAUGUUUAUUUUUAUCAGAAAUAUAUUGUUUUUUUUUUUUCUCUUUCUUUUUCUUCUCUUAUUCUUUUUUUUUCUUUCUUCUUUCUCGUUGCCCUUUAUCGAGGAAAAGAACUGGAAUAACUUUGUGGGUCCUGGCUCCUUCCUACCCUCUCCUGGGAGCAAAAGAGCAGUAAUCAUUGAUCUCACAGCACUUCUCCCCAUUGGGAUUUCUUUGUUAAGACUGGUAUACUCGGAAAUUCACAUUUCUACUGUAUUUACACAUUUCUACUGUAUUUACACCAACAGAUCUCAAAUGAUUCAUUAUUUAUUAAAAAAAAAAAAAAAGAAAUAUAUUGUUAGUUACCAUUAUUCCAUUACUUUAAGGAAAAAAUUUAAUCAAAUGCACUUCUAUAAUAAAGACAGCAAUUCCUGUUGACAGCUCCUGCAAAAAUCGCUCCGUGUUCAUUUCCCACUUUUGAUUAUCAACAACAAGAGAACUUAGACUUAACUUCAAAUGCUAAAACACAGUGUCAUGAAUUUAGCGAAGUGUAAUCGUUAUAUUUUCCUUCAUAUUUGCAAACUAACAAAUGCCAACUCAGUAUGAUAGAGCAUGCUAACAUCCACAAUUUGCCAGACAAGCCCACCCUGGACACAAUAAUACUGAUGGGCAAAUAGUGAAAAAAUAAUGGCCACUGGCGACGGCUCCCGGGCCUGGCAGAUCCCCACGCACUAAAUAGGAGUGAAGAAGUUAAAGAAUUGAGAACAAAGAGCAAGGGAGGAUGGGGCACAUAAACGAGAAUGAUCAGUUUGCAGAACUGGGGGUGUUUGGAGGCGUGGUCCCACUCCUGAAAUUCCGAUACCUAAUCUCCAACAACUUGGAAAUUUCCAAAAAGGGAAAAAAGACAAUUUAAUAUUUAUUUUAUGUUUACAGUAUGUGAUUUAAUUUAUUUACAGUAUGUGCUGUUUCACCUGCUCACACUGGAUAUAUUUAAACUCAUUUUCAUGCCCACUCAUAUUCUGAAGCCCAAUUUAAAAAAAAAAAUCAACAUCCAGACAAAUUAAAAACUACAAACUAUGAAAGUAGCUAUUACACACACUUUCAUUACACCUCAAAGUAACAGUUUAACAGGUCAUAAUUCAUUUUCAGGUUCCACAACUGCCCAAGUUCCAGUAUAAUGAUCACACUGGCAUUUGGCCCUUGAACCCAGAUAUUUUUAAUGAAGCACACUCCUCACCAUGUGUAAAGGUUACCACCUCAAUCAGAGACUGCCUUUCAAACUCUG
Long non-coding RNA from Astatotilapia calliptera (eastern happy), 2071 nucleotides. Lineage: Eukaryota; Metazoa; Chordata; Actinopteri; Cichliformes; Cichlidae. The record is from Ensembl.